This 77-nucleotide small nucleolar RNA is filed under the name Astyanax mexicanus (Mexican tetra). RNAcentral's name for it is "Small nucleolar RNA SNORD50 (ENSAMXG00005024458.1)". It matches the Rfam family "Small nucleolar RNA SNORD50". From Rfam's summary of the family: U50 belongs to the C/D class of snoRNA which contain the C (UGAUGA) and D (CUGA) box motifs. Most of the members of the box C/D family function in directing site-specific 2'-O-methylation of substrate RNAs. Lineage: Eukaryota; Metazoa; Chordata; Actinopteri; Characiformes; Acestrorhamphidae. The record is from RNAcentral.
GAACAGUGAUGAACACUUUUUAUCCCGAAUCUGAACCUUUUUUGCUGAGACAUCCUUACGGAUCUGACUACUGAGUU